Molecule: ribosomal RNA, 626 nt
Filed under: Oreophryne atrigularis
Lineage: Eukaryota; Metazoa; Chordata; Amphibia; Anura; Microhylidae
Description: partial 12S ribosomal RNA
Rfam family: Bacterial small subunit ribosomal RNA (bases 1-471)
Source: RNAcentral
GCCAGGGAACUACGAGCGCAAGCUUAAAACCCAAAGGACUUGACGGUGUCCCACCUACCUAGAGGAGCCUGUUCUAUAAUCGAUAAUCCCCGAUACACCCCACCUCCCCUCGCAUAUGCCCAGCCUGUAUACCUCCGUCGCAAGCUUACCGCCUGAGCGCCCCACAGUAAGCUAAAAGAUCAGAACAUUCCACACGUCAGGUCAAGGUGCAGCCUAUGGGGCGGAAAGAAAUUGGCUACAAUUUCUAUCUUAGAACACACGGAAAGCUGUUGCAACACAGCUCUGAAGGCGGAUUUAGAAGUAAAAAGAAAAUAGAGAGUUCUUUUUAAACUAGCACUGGGACAUGUACACACCGCCCGUCACCCUCUUCAAAACAACCAUACACAUGUCCUUAACACCUUAAACCUAAGAAGAAGAGGCAAGUCGUAACAUGGUAAGUGUACUGGAAAGUGCACUUGGAUGACAAAAUGUAACUUAACAAAAGUACUUUGCUUACACCAAAGACAUGUCUGUGAAACCCGGACCAUUCUGAGCUUAAAACCCAGCCCCUCUAAACUAACCAAACAAACUACAAACAAAUAAAACAUUUUCUCACCUAGUAAAGGCGAUUGAAAAGUACUUAGGAG